AGCACAUUCUUGACUAUCUUUGAGGCAUUUCUCCCACACUUUUGUUUGUACUGCACUCAUUGAGUCAUCCCUAAAAGCCUUCUGAAUUAUCCAAAUAGUUUCUGCAGAGGAAUGUUUCAGCUUAACGCAAGAUCU
Long non-coding RNA from Phyllostomus discolor (pale spear-nosed bat), 135 nucleotides. RefSeq lists it as uncharacterized. The transcript has 3 exons. NCBI's taxonomy places the organism in Eukaryota, Metazoa, Chordata, Mammalia, Chiroptera, Phyllostomidae. The record is from RefSeq and is a predicted model, not a curated record.